AUUAAGGUAAUAUUAGAGGAUGACCAAAUUUGACAGCAUUAUUAAUAAAAUAGCCUUCGUGCAGAAAAGUUGGGUAAAUAACAUUUUUUUAUCCUUCGAAAUAACUAUUUUACCCUUUAUAAAUGAGAUAAACUCUUUCUUUCCGACAAUAGCUGCUACAUGUAGGAAACAAAAGAUAAUACGAAAUAAUGAUUACACCGCUACUUCUUAAAAAAUCAUGCAAUAUUAGACCACUACUUAUUAAAAUCACACGCAAUAUCUCUUAUACCUUAAAAAUGUAUACGUAAAAGAAAACUUAGUUAAAAGAUAGCCAUUUAGAAACAGUUGUGAUUGAGUAUAGAAAUAUUGCAUAAGAUAUUUAAGGACAUGCUAUUUAUUUUUAUUAC
This 386-nucleotide small RNA is filed under the name Arabidopsis thaliana (thale cress). Its description in RNAcentral is "ATSL134610". The record is from RNAcentral. Lineage: Eukaryota; Viridiplantae; Streptophyta; Magnoliopsida; Brassicales; Brassicaceae.